Molecule: ribosomal RNA, 777 nt
Filed under: uncultured Neocallimastigales
Lineage: Eukaryota; Fungi; Neocallimastigomycota; Neocallimastigomycetes; Neocallimastigales
Description: partial large subunit ribosomal RNA
Rfam family: Eukaryotic large subunit ribosomal RNA
Source: RNAcentral
GAGAGAUGUGUGAUGACGCAUAUCAAUAAGCGGAGGAAAAGAAACUAACAAGGAUUCCCUUAGUAACGGCGAGUGAAGCGGGAAGAGCUCAAAUUUGAAAUCUUCAAGGUUCUACCUUGACGAAUUGUAGUUUAUAGAAGUGUUUUCUGUUAGUGGAGUGGCAAAAGUUCUUUGGAAUAGGACAUCAUAGAGGGUGAGAAUCCCGUAUUUGGUCAUUCCUCCUAGCGUUGUGAUACACUUUCAACGAGUCGGAUUGUUUGGGAAUGCAGUCCAAAAUGGGUGGUAAAUUUCAUCUAAAGCUAAAUAUUGGCGAGAGACCGAUAGCGAACAAGUACCGUGAGGGAAAGAUGAAAAGAACUUUGAAAAGAGAGUUAAACAGUACGUGAAAUUGUCAAAAGGGAAGCGUUUGACACCAGUGUUGUUUUUCCGAAAAUCAAUUACGAAUGUUUUAUUUUUGAGGAGUUAUGACUUCAUCGGCUUGCUCCUUUCUUUAUGAAACUUUCUUAAUGCACUUUUCGGUUAACAAGUCAACAUCAAUUUCUUUUGUUGUAAAAGGGUAUGAGGAAGGUGGCUUUCUUUUCGGAGAAAGUGUUUAUAGCCCUGUGACUUCUACAAUCGGAGAGAUUGAGGUCUGCAGCGUAGAUCCUUCGGGGUUAGAUACGUUUGUGCUAAGUUAUAGCUUUUCAUAGACAACUUGUUGACUAUGAUUAGUCUUGUAGCUUACUCGCUUACUGCUAUUUUACCUACGCUUAGGAUGUUGAGUAGCGACAUACGCAC